Molecule: ribosomal RNA, 112 nt
Filed under: Lepisosteus oculatus (spotted gar)
Lineage: Eukaryota; Metazoa; Chordata; Actinopteri; Semionotiformes; Lepisosteidae
Source: RNAcentral
GCCAGUAGCCAUAUCACCCUGCAACUCACAACUGGCAACCCACUGAAGCUCAGCAGGUGUGAGCCUGGUCAGUACCUGGAUGGGAGACCUCAAACUAAGGUUGCUGCUGGAA